UGAAAUAUUAUUUUUAUUAUUACUAUUUAAUAAAUUCUAGAUAUUCAUUAAACAAAUAAUUUUUUAAAAAAUAAAAAAGAUCAAAUUCUACAAGUAUUUCACAAAAAAAUAAUACAUUAAACAUAAACUAUAUUUUUAUGUUUUUUCAAUUGUCUUCGUUUUAUCGUAUUUUCUUCAUUAUCUCGAUCCUCUUGUUAAUUACUUUAGCUCUUCAACUACUUGCAUUGGACCCUCUUGUUGAAUUUUGUCGAUGGACUCUCUUUUAUAUUGUGAUUUGUCAUUGAAUAUCUGCAUAUUCAAACACAUAAAUUAAACAACUUUAUAUUAAAAAUACUAAUUACCCUACAUCAAUGACAACGAAACAAAAAUUGAGACAAUCUAAAGAAUUAGUGAAGAAUAAUCGAAUUUUUCUACCUAGAAUUCAUCAUGUACGCUAUUAAAGAUUUAAUGAAUAGGCAGAGUUCCAAUAGUCUUCUUUGAAAACUUACCGAAUGUCUUUCCUGAAAUCAAAAUGAGUUUAAUUACAUCAUAAAUUGAACAACUAUUUGAAAGAUAAUGUUGAACCAAAUAAAGAAAGAACUUAUGAAAGCCAAGUAAAACUUCACGUGAAAUUUGCAAAUUAUAGAUACAAUUUUCGUUGGCUACUUUUAUCAAAUAGUUUAUAAUCACUAUAGAUACAAGUUUAAUUGAUUAUGUUUUCUCGAUCACAAAAAAAUCAUCACGGAUGAAAAAAUCUAAAACACAAUACAAAAUCCUUCAAUGAAAGAAUUAAAAAAAAAAAAAACUCAACACAAUUUUUUCGUUAAUUACCUUAUUCACCUCAUAGAUUCCCUUAUUGACCAAAUCGUUGACCAUAAAUAAUGCACAAAAGAGAAACCCUAGGGUUCAAAGUAGAAGAACUCUUCCAUUAAAAAAAAUAAACUCUUCUAUUUGUAGAUACAAGGAUGAAGAGAUUAAAAUAGAUGCUUACCUUUAUAUUAUUAGAGCAACAAACAAAGAGAUAAGAGGUCAUAGAUGGAUAACGAUGAACGGAGAUAGUCGACGAUGCCAAUUGUGGUGAGGUGGAGGAACACAAUCAAUAGUGGAAGAGAGUGUUGUGUGAGAUAAAAAAAGUUGGAAGAGAGAGCUCGUGUUUAUGAAGUUUAGAGUUUGUUUCUCUCUUCUUUUUUUUCAAAGAAAAUUAAGAAGUUUGUUUUUUAUGUUCAAAAUACAAAACAUUUGUUUCUAUUUUUAAGGAAUGAUGUGAU
RNAcentral lists this long non-coding RNA (1247 nucleotides) under Trifolium pratense (red clover). RNAcentral describes it as "long non-coding RNA (TPRA_LNC004220)". The record is from RNAcentral. Lineage: Eukaryota; Viridiplantae; Streptophyta; Magnoliopsida; Fabales; Fabaceae.